AUUGAACGCUGGCGGCAGGCCUAACACAUGCAAGUCGAGCGGAUGAAGGGAGCUUGCUCCUGGAUUCAGCGGCGGACGGGUGAGUAAUGCCUAGGAAUCUGCCUGGUAGUGGGGGAUAACGUCCGGAAACGGGCGCUAAUACCGCAUACGUCCUGAGGGAGAAAGUGGGGGAUCUUCGGACCUCACGCUAUCAGAUGAGCCUAGGUCGGAUUAGCUAGUUGGUGGGGUAAAGGCCUACCAAGGCGACGAUCCGUAACUGGUCUGAGAGGAUGAUCAGUCACACUGGAACUGAGACACGGUCCAGACUCCUAAGGGAGGCAGCAGUGGGGAAUAUUGGACAAUGGGCGAAAGCCUGAUCCAGCCAUGCCGCGUGUGUGAAGAAGGUCUUCGGAUUGUAAAGCACGUUAAGUUGGGAGGAAGGGCAGUAAGUUAAUACCUUGCUGGUUUGACGUUACCAACAGAAUAAGCACCGGCUAACUUCGUG
Molecule: ribosomal RNA, 484 nt
Filed under: uncultured bacterium
Lineage: Bacteria
Description: partial 16S ribosomal RNA
Rfam family: Bacterial small subunit ribosomal RNA
Source: RNAcentral